RNAcentral lists this ribosomal RNA (253 nucleotides) under uncultured bacterium. RNAcentral's name for it is "partial 16S ribosomal RNA". It matches the Rfam family "Bacterial small subunit ribosomal RNA", at positions 524 to 776 of the family's 1533-position model. The record is from RNAcentral.
UACGUAGGGUGCGAGCGUUGUCCGGAAUUAUUGGGCGUAAAGGGCUCGUAGGCGGUUUGUCGCGUCGGGAGUGAAAACUCAGGGCUUAACCCUGAGCCUGCUUCCGAUACGGGCAGACUAGAGGUAUGCAGGGGAGAACGGAAUUCCUGGUGUAGCGGUGAAAUGCGAAGAUAUCAGGAGGAACACCGGUGGCGAAGGCGGUUCUCUGGGCAUUACCUGACGCUGAGGAGCGAAAGUGUGGGGAGCGAACAGG